RNAcentral lists this ribosomal RNA (492 nucleotides) under uncultured bacterium. RNAcentral describes it as "partial 16S ribosomal RNA". It matches the Rfam family "Bacterial small subunit ribosomal RNA", at positions 29 to 507 of the family's 1533-position model. The record is from RNAcentral.
AGUGAACGCUGGCGGUAGGCCUAACACAUGCAAGUCGAACGGCAGCACAGUAAGAGCUUGCUCUUACGGGUGGCGAGUGGCGGAUGGGUGAGGAAUACAUCGGAAUCUACUUUUUCGUGGGGGAUAACGUAGGGAAACUUACGCUAAUACCGCAUACGACCUACGGGUGAAAGCAGGGGAUCUUCGGACCUUGCGCGAUUGAAUGAGCCGAUGUCGGAUUAGCUAGUUGGCGGGGUAAAGGCCCACCAAGGCGACGAUCCGUAGCUGGUCUGAGAGGAUGAUCAGCCACACUGGAACUGAGACACGGUCCAGACUCCUACGGGAAGCAGCAGUGGGGAAUAUUGGACAAUGGGCGCAAGCCUGAUCCAGCCAUACCGCGUGGGUGAAGAAGGCCUUCGGGUUGUAAAGCCCUUUUGUUGGGAAAGAAAAGCAGCAGGUUAAUACCCCGCUGUUCUGACGGUACCCAAAGAAUAAGCACCGGCUAACUUCGUG